RNAcentral lists this ribosomal RNA (464 nucleotides) under uncultured bacterium. RNAcentral describes it as "partial 16S ribosomal RNA". It matches the Rfam family "Bacterial small subunit ribosomal RNA", at positions 339 to 795 of the family's 1533-position model. The record is from RNAcentral.
CUACGGGGCGCACCAGUGGGGAAUAUUGCACAAUGGGCGCAAGCCUGAUGCAGCCAUGCCGCGUGUAUGAAGAAGGCCUUCGGGUUGUAAAGUACUUUCAGCGGGGAGGAAGGGAGUAAAGUUAAUACCUUUGCUCAUUGACGUUACCCGCAGAAGAAGCACCGGCUAACUCCGUGCCAGCAGCCGCGGUAAUACGGAGGGUGCAAGCGUUAAUCGGAAUUACUGGGCGUAAAGCGCACGCCGGCGGUUUGUUAAGUCAGAUGUGAAAUCCCCGGGCUCAACCUGGGAAGUGCAUCUGAUACUGGCAAGCUUGAGUCUCGGAGAGGGGGGUAGAAUUCCAGGUGUAGCGGUGAAAUGCGUAGAGAUCUGGAGGAAUACCGGUGGCGAAGGCGGCCCCUUGGACGAAGACUGACGCUCAGGUGCGAAAGCGUGGGGAGCAAACAGGAUUAGAUACCCCCGUAGUC